Molecule: small nuclear RNA, 23 nt
Filed under: Arabidopsis thaliana (thale cress)
Lineage: Eukaryota; Viridiplantae; Streptophyta; Magnoliopsida; Brassicales; Brassicaceae
Description: snRNA_17275
Source: RNAcentral
ACUUUUUGGAUAUGUGAAACUCG